This 1311-nucleotide ribosomal RNA is filed under the name Xiangelilacris zhongdianensis. RNAcentral describes it as "16S ribosomal RNA". The stretch from base 879 to 1241 matches the Rfam family "Archaeal large subunit ribosomal RNA", at positions 2150 to 2716 of the family's 2987-position model. The record is from RNAcentral. Lineage: Eukaryota; Metazoa; Arthropoda; Insecta; Orthoptera; Acrididae.
UUGUUUAUUAUAUUAUAUUGAUUUUUUGUUAAUUUAGUUAUUUAAUAGAAUUAAUUUUAUUGAUUUUUGUCUAAGUAUAUUUUGUAAAAUUGAUUUUUAAAAUUAUAGUUUAAUAGUAAUGUAAUUGAAUUAUGAAAUAUUAGUUUAAGUUAAUAAAAGUUAAUUUUAUUUAUUGUACCUUUUGUAUCAGGGUUUAUCAAAAUUUUAAUAUUUAUUUAUUUAUCUCGAUUUAGGUUGAUUUACAAUUAACUAAAAGUUAAUGUAUUAUAAUUAUUAUUAAGCUAAUUGUAGAAAUGAAAUGUUAGUCGUUUCCUAAGAUAUCUAGUUUCUUAAGAAAAAAUUUAAUUUUUAAAAGUUUUUGUUUUUAUUUAAUUUUUUAUAUAAAAAUAUUGACUUAUUUAUUCUUUAGGGGAUAAGCUCUAAGGUUAAUAACCUAUAAUUUAUUUAUUUUCAAUUAUAAUAGUAGGCUUUAAGUCAGCCAUCAUAAUGAUUACGUUUUAGUUCAUUAUUUAAAAUAAUGAUUUUAUAGAUAUUUUAGGUAUUUUAUUAAGAUUAAAUAUUAAAUUGAAUAAUUUUUGUAAUAAUGAUGAAAUUAGUAUAUUAAUUUUGUUUAAGUUAAUUAUUAUUAUUAAUUUAUUAUAAGGAAUUAGGCAAUUUUAAUUUCUGCCUGUUUAUCAAAAACAUGUCCUCUUGAUUAUAUUUUGAGGUCUGACCUGCUCACUGAGAAGAAUUUAAAGAGCCGCGGUAUUUUGACCGUGCAAAGGUAGCAUAAUCAUUAGUCUCUUAAUUAGGGGCUGGAAUGAAUGGUUUGACAAGAAAUUAACUGUCUCUUAAUAAAUUUUAAAAUUUAACUUUUAAGUCAAAAGGCUUAAAUUUUGCUUUAGGACAAGAAGACCCUAUAGAGUUUUACAUUUUAUUUUUUUAUAGUCUUUAGUUGAUCUUUUUAUAUUUAAUAGUAAUGUUUUGUUGGGGUGACAUGAAGAAUAAUUAAACUCUUCAUUAUUAAAUCAUUAAUUUAUGUUUAUUAUGAUCCAUAAUUUAUGAUCAUAAGAUUAAAUUACCUUAGGGAUAACAGCGUAAUUAUUUUUGAAAGCUCAUAUUGACAAAGUAGAUUGCGACCUCGAUGUUGGAUUAAGAUAAAUUUUGGGUGUAGGAGCCCAAUAAUUAGGUCUGUUCGACCUUUAAAUUCUUACAUGAUCUGAGUUCAGACCGGCGUGAGCCAGGUCGGUUUUUAUCCUAAGUUAAAAACUUAUAUUAGUACGAAAGGACCAUGUAGGUGAAAGAUUUUUUUUUAGUUGAUUAAAAUUAAUU